AUUGAACGCUGGCGGCAGGCCUAACACAUGCAAGUCGAACGGUAACAGGGAUCAGCUUGCUGAUUCGCUGACGAGUGGCGGACGGGUGAGUAAUGUCUGGGAAACUGCCUGAUGGCGGGGGAUAACUACUGGAAACGGUAGCUAAUACCGCAUAACGUCGCAAGACCAAAGAGGGGGACCUUCGGGCCUCUUGCCAUCGGAUGUGCCCAGAUGGGAUUAGCCAGUAGGUGGGGUAACGGCUCACCUAGGCGACGAUCCCUAGCGGGUCUGAGAGGAUGAACAGCCACACUGGAACUGAGACACGGUCCAGACUCCUACGGGAGGCAGCAGUGGGGAAUAUUGCACAAUGGGCGCAAGCCUGAUGCAGCCAUGCCGCGUGUAUGAAGAAGGCCUUCGGGUUGUAAAGUACUUUCAGCGGGGAGGAAGGGAGUAAAGUUAAUACCUUUACUCAUUGACGUUACCCGCAGAAGAAGCACCGGCUAACUCCGUG
Molecule: ribosomal RNA, 490 nt
Filed under: uncultured bacterium
Lineage: Bacteria
Description: partial 16S ribosomal RNA
Rfam family: Bacterial small subunit ribosomal RNA
Source: RNAcentral